Piliocolobus tephrosceles (Ugandan red Colobus) is the source of this 1152-nucleotide RNA transcript. It is a transcript of the gene named ATP-dependent RNA helicase A pseudogene, with no coding region annotated. The record is from RefSeq and is a predicted model, not a curated record. Lineage: Eukaryota; Metazoa; Chordata; Mammalia; Primates; Cercopithecidae. The transcript has a single exon.
GGGGUGUAUUUUCUAUGUGGGAGAUGCUGUCUUACCAUUGCUGCUGCUACCUGCUUUCCAGAGUCUUUCAUCAAUGAAGGAAAGUGGCUGGGCUAUAUCCAUCGAAAUUUUGCUGGAAACAUAUUUUCUGAUCACGUAGCCCUUUUAUCAGUAUUCCAAGCCUGGGAUGAUGCUAGAAUGGGUGGAGAAGAAGCAGACAUACGUUUUUGUGAGCACAAAAGACUUAAUAUGGCCACACUAAGAAUGACAUGGGAAGCCAAAGUUCAACUCAAAGUGAUUUUGAUUAAUUCUGGGUUUCCAGAAGAUUGUUUGUUGACACAAGUGUUUACUAACACUGGACCAGAUAAUAAUUUGGAUGUUGUUAUCUCCCUCCUGGCCUUUGGUGUGUACCCCAAUGUAUGCUAUCAUAAGGAAAAGAGAAAGAUUCUCACCACUGAAGGACGUAAUGCACUUAUCCACAAAUCAUCUGUUAAUUGUCCUUUUAGUGGCCAAGACAUGAAGUACCCAUCUCCCUUCUUUGUAUUUGGUGAAAAGAUUCGAACUCGAGCCAUCUCUGCUAAAGGCAAGACUUUAGUCACACCUCUGCAGUUGCUUCUGUUUGCCUCCAAGAAAGUCCAAUCUGAUGGGCAGAUUGUACUUGUAGAUGACUGGAUUAAACUACAAAUAUCUCAUGAAGCUGCUGCCUGUAUCACCGGUCUCCGGGCAGCCAUGGAGGCUCUGGUUGUUGAAGUAACCAAACAACCUGCUAUCAUCAGCCAGUUGGACCCUGUAAAUGAACAUAUGCUGAACAUGAUCCGUCAAAUCUCUAGACCCUCAGCUGCUGGUAUCAACCUUAUGAUUGACAGUACACAGUAUGGAGAUGAUCCACGUCCUCCCAAGAUGGCCCGAUAUGACAAUGGAAGUGGAUAUAGAAGCGGAGGUUCUAGUUACAGUGGUGGAGGCUAUGGCGGUGGCUAUACCAGUGGAGGAUAUGGUGGUGGAGGCUAUGGUAGUGGAGGCUAUGGUGGCAACCCCAACUCCUUUUGGGCAGGACAUGGCGCAGGUGUUGGUGGAGGCUAUAGAGGAGUUACCCGAGGUGGCUUUAGAGGCAACUCUGGAGGAGACUACAGAGGGCCUAGUGGAGGCUACAGAGGAUCUGGUGGAUUCCAGUGA